GGCCUGAACGCUGGCGGCGUGGCUAAGACAUGCAAGUCGUACGGGGGCCGUAGUAAUACGGUCCAGUGGCGGACGGGUGAGUAAUGAAUCGCUAAUGUACCCCGGACUCUGGGAUAGCCGGCCGAAAGGCCGGGUAAUACCAGAUGAUAUAUCCAUAAGGCAUCUUGUGGAUCUCAAAGGGAAACCGGUCUGGGCGCAGGCGAUUUCGUAUCAGGUAGUUGGUGCGGGUAACGGCCCACCAAGCCGACGACGCGUAGCUGGUCUGAGAGGACGGCCAGCCACAUUGGGACUGAGACACUGCCCAGACUCCUACGGGGGGCCUGCAGUAACGAAUCUUCCGCAAUGCACGCAAGUGUGACGGAGCGACGCGCGUGGAGUUAAGUCCUUCGGA
RNAcentral lists this ribosomal RNA (391 nucleotides) under uncultured soil bacterium. RNAcentral describes it as "bacterial SSU rRNA". It matches the Rfam family "Bacterial small subunit ribosomal RNA", at positions 30 to 422 of the family's 1533-position model. The record is from RNAcentral.